AGAGUUUGAUCCUGGCUCAGGACGAACGCUGGCGGCGUGCCUAAUACAUGCAAGUGGGACGCAAGGAAACACACUGUGCUUGCACACCGUGUUUUCUUGAGUCGCGAACGGGUGAGUAACGCGUAGGUAACCUGCCUAUUAGCGGGGGAUAACUAUUGGAAACGAUAGCUAAUACCGCAUAAUAUUAAUUAUUGCAUGAUAAUUGAUUGAAAGAUGCAAGCGCAUCACUAGUAGAUGGACCUGCGUUGUAUUAGCUAGUUGGUAAGGUAAGAGCUUACCAAGGCGACGAUACAUAGCCGACCUGAGAGGGUGAUCGGCCACACUGGGACUGAGACACGGCCCAGACUCCUACGGGAGGCAGCAGUAGGGAAUCUUCGGCAAUGGACGAAAGUCUGACCGAGCAACGCCGCGUGAGUGAAGAAGGUUUUCGGAUCGUAAAGCUCUGUUGUAAGUCAAGAACGUGUGUGAGAGUGGAAAGUUCACACAGUGACGGUAGCUUACCAGAAAGGGACGGCUAACUACGUGCCAGCAGCCGCGGUAAUACGUAGGUCCCGAGCGUUGUCCGGAUUUAUUGGGCGUAAAGGGAGCGCAGGCGGUCAGGAAAGUCUGGAGUAAAAGGCUAUGGCUCAACCAUAGUGUGCUCUGGAAACUGUCUGACUUGAGUGCAGAAGGGGAGAGUGGAAUUCCAUGUGUAGCGGUGAAAUGCGUAGAUAUAUGGAGGAACACCAGUGGCGAAAGCGGCUCUCUGGUCUGUCACUGACGCUGAGGCUCGAAAGCGUGGGUAGCGAACAGGAUUAGAUACCCUGGUAGUCCACGCCGUAAACGAUGAGUGCUAGGUGUUAGGCCCUUUCCGGGGCUUAGUGCCGGAGCUAACGCAAUAAGCACUCCGCCUGGGGAGUACGACCGCAAGGUUGAAACUCAAAGGAAUUGACG
Molecule: ribosomal RNA, 933 nt
Filed under: synthetic metagenome
Description: bacterial SSU rRNA
Rfam family: Bacterial small subunit ribosomal RNA
Source: RNAcentral